CUACGGGCGGCAGCAGUGAGGAAUAUUGCGCAAUGGGGGAAACCCUGACGCAGCGACGCCGCGUGGAUGAUGAAGGCCUUCGGGUUGUAAAAUCCUGUCAGAUGGGAAGAAUUGUUCCAUGUCUAAUAUAUGUGGGACUUGACGGUACCGUCAAAGGAAGCACCGGCUAACUCCGUGCCAGCAGCCGCGGUAAUACGGAGGGUGCAAGCGUUGUUCGGAAUUACUGGGCGUAAAGCGCGCGUAGGCGGUCUGUUAAGUCAGAUGUGAAAGCCCAUGGCUCAACCAUGGACGUGCAUUUGAUACUGGCAGACUUGAGUACUGGAGGGGGUGGUGGAAUUCCCGGUGUAGAGGUGAAAUUCGUAGAUAUCGGGAGGAAUACCGGUGGCGAAGGCGACCACCUGGCCAGAUACUGACGCUGAGGUGCGAAAGCGUGGGGAGCAAACAGGAUUAGAUACCCCAGUAGUC
This 465-nucleotide ribosomal RNA is filed under the name uncultured bacterium. RNAcentral's name for it is "partial 16S ribosomal RNA". It matches the Rfam family "Bacterial small subunit ribosomal RNA", at positions 339 to 795 of the family's 1533-position model. The record is from RNAcentral.